GAGCUGUUGAGCCCCUUCAGUUUCUUCUGAAUUCCUUUUACAGCCAAAAGCCAGUUUUCCCCAUGAUCGUACUCCCUUUAUUUUGUACUAUCAUUCUUUUUACAGCUAUGACCAUGAGUUAGUGUUUGGUGUCUCCUUGAAGAACAUGAAUAAAGCGGAGAGGCUGACUUUUGGUGAGUCACUUAUGACCCACGCCAUGACCUUCACUGCUGUCUCAGAGAAGGAUGAUCAGGAUGGUGCUUUCACAAAAUGGAGAGUGGAGAAUUCAUGGGGUGAAGACCAUGGCCACAAAG
Molecule: small RNA, 293 nt
Filed under: Pongo abelii (Sumatran orangutan)
Lineage: Eukaryota; Metazoa; Chordata; Mammalia; Primates; Hominidae
Description: retained intron
Source: RNAcentral